CACGGUAAACGAUGGAUGCCCGCUGUUUGCGAUAUACUGUGAGCGGCCAAGAGAAAUCGUUAAGCAUCCCACCUGGGGAGUACGCCGGCAACGGUGAAACUCAAAGGAAUUGACGGGGGCCCGCACAAGCGGAGGAACAUGUGGUUUAAUUCGAUGAUACGCGAGGAACCUUACCCGGGCUUGAACUGCCAGCGAACGAUACAGAGAUGUUGAGGCCCUUCGGGGCGCUGGUGGAGGUGCUGCAUGGUUGUCGUCAGCUCGUGCCGUGAGGUGUCGGCUUAAGUGCCAUAACGAGCGCAACCCUUUUCGUCAGUUGCCAUCGGGUGAAGCUGGGCACUCUGGCGAUACUGCCACCGUAAGGUGUGAGGAAGGUGGGGAUGACGUCAAAUCAGCACGGCCCUUACGUCCGGGGCUACACACGUGUUACAAUGGGGAGUACAGAGAGUCGGUGCAUGGCAAUGUGCAUCCAAUCAUGAAAGCUCUCCUCAGUUCGGAUUGGGGUCUGCAACCCGACC
Molecule: ribosomal RNA, 515 nt
Filed under: uncultured bacterium
Lineage: Bacteria
Description: bacterial SSU rRNA
Rfam family: Bacterial small subunit ribosomal RNA
Source: RNAcentral